Molecule: ribosomal RNA, 555 nt
Filed under: uncultured bacterium
Lineage: Bacteria
Description: bacterial SSU rRNA
Rfam family: Bacterial small subunit ribosomal RNA
Source: RNAcentral
CAUACCCUUCUCUAAGGAAUAGUCUCGGGAAACUGAGGGUAAUACCUUAUACGCCCUUCGGGGGAAAGAUUUAUCGGAGAUGGAUUGGCCCGCGUUAGAUUAGAUAGUUGGUGGGGUAAUGGCCUACCAAGUCUACGAUCUAUAGCUGGUUUUAGAGGAUGAUCAGCAACACUGGGACUGAGACACGGCCCAGACUCCUACGGGAGGCAGCAGUGGGGAAUCUUAGACAAUGGGCGCAAGCCUGAUCUAGCCAUGCCGCGUGAAUGAUGAAGGUCUUAGGAUUGUAAAGUUCUUUCGCUGGGGAUGAUAAUGACAGUACCCAGUAAAGAAGUCCCGGCUAACUCCGUGCCAGCAGCCGCGGUAAUACGGAGGGGACUAGCGUUGUUCGGAAUUACUGGGCGUAAAGCGCGCGUAGGCGGACCAGCAAGUUAGGGGUGAAAUCCCGGGGCUCAACCCCGGAACUGCCCUUAAAACUGUUGGUCUUGAGUUCGAGAGAGGUGAGUGGAAUUCCGAGUGUAGAGGUGAAAUUCGUAGAUAUUCGGAGGAACACCAGUG